Molecule: ribosomal RNA, 465 nt
Filed under: uncultured bacterium
Lineage: Bacteria
Description: partial 16S ribosomal RNA
Rfam family: Bacterial small subunit ribosomal RNA
Source: RNAcentral
GACGAACGCUGGCGGCGUGCUUAACACAUGCAAGUCGUACGGUAAGGCCCUUUCGGGGGUACACGAGUGGCGAACGGGUGAGUAACACGUGAGUAACCUGCCCACAACUUUGGGAUAACGCUAGGAAACUGGUGCUAAUACUGGAUAUGUGCUCCUGCUGCAUGGUGGGGGUUGGAAAGCUCCGGCGGUUGUGGAUGGACUCGCGGCCUAUCAGCUUGUUGGUGGGGUAGUGGCCUACCAAGGCGGCGACGGGUAGCCGGCCUGAGAGGGUGACCGGCCACAUUGGGACUGAGAUACGGCCCAGACUCCUACGGGAGGCAGCAGUGGGGAAUAUUGCACAAUGGGCGCAAGCCUGAUGCAGCAACGCCGCGUGCGGGAUGACGGCCUUCGGGUUGUAAACCGCUUUCAGCAUGGACGAAGCUUUUUGUGACGGUACCUGCAGAAGAAGCACCGGCUAACUACGUG